AUCUUUCCUUCCCUUUUCCACUUCCUAAAGAGAAACGUUGAGAGAGGAAGAAGAAAUUUUAAAGAGAGAGAAAGAUGCAAGAAAGAAUGAGAAAAGUUGGAGUUUACGGAGCUUGACCAAGGAGUGCUAGAAGUUCUUCUCUCCCCUUCUAAAAGACUAAAUCGACUAGAUUUCGGUAAGGGAUUCUUUAGCAUUUUCAUCUACAUUUCUAAGUGUUCUUUUUAUUUUAUUAAUUUGAUGAAAUUAGAGAUUUGUUGAAAUGAAUUUCUAUGCUUGUUUGGUGGUUAAAUAUUUUGUUUUUAUUCAUGAUGAAUGUGUUAUAAUGAUGAUUUGGGAUAUCUAUGAUUUUGAUGCAUGCACAUAUGUGAUUGUUUGGUGAUUAAUUGCUUAAAUAUGAUUGUGUGAGAUAUGAUGCAUGAUGGUUAUACCAUAUGAUGCAAUGAUUAUGAUGCAUGAACUCUACAAAGAUGGAUGUUUGUUUAUAUAGAUAUGAGACAUGGUAUUAUUGAACAUGAUGAGAUAAUCUAUGAGUCUUUAUGGAAAUAUUGAGCAUGAUGUAUGAAAAGUAUGAUGAUGGGAAAAUGCAUGUGGUUUUGGCCCUUCGCUUUACUUUGGUAAUGGUAAAGAGGGUUAUUCUUGUGCACCUUGGCUUAAGAGAAUGACCCAAAGGUUAAAUCUGGGUAAAUGGGCCUUCAAACCGGAUACAUGAAAUGGGCCUUCGGCUGGAUAUGUAAAAAUGAGUCUUUGGAUCAGAUAUGUUAUAGGAUCCCUAUCAAAUUCAGAAAUGGUUGUAUUGAACACGUGACAUGCAAAAGAAAAGAAGAUGGAAUUUGUUGUGAACAUGAAAUAAACAAACAAAAAUAAUGGAAAAUUCGUUCAAUUGUUAUCUAUGAGGGAUUUCUGUUUCUCCCUCCUCUAACAAAGUGUUGGUGAAUGGCUCCUUGUGAUAAUCAACGAUCUCGUUGACGAGAGAUGAUACGCAUUAGGUACAUAUAGGGCCAUUGUUGUAAUGUACGACCAUGGUCAUAGUUUAUAUGGGGAAAUGAUAAUGGCCUAGGAAUGGGUCGGUGAUUCACAGAAGUAGCCAGAGAUCCCUUCUGCUCUCAGUGGAUGUAUGUUGUAAUGGCUUUGUACUGAGGUCGGUAAAAGACUUGAUAAAACCCCUAUAUGAUUAAGAAUACUAAUUUUAUCUCUGUGAUCAUUUAUAUAAUGGUUCUUCUAUUUAUUGAGCAUAUUAUUUAUUAGAUUUCCAUUGGAUAUAUGAUAUAUUUGGGUGUGCCAAAUGUGACAUAACAUGCCUGUUUUAAUGUGAAUAAUGGUGUUCUUAGCUUGGUUAUAUAACUGUCCCACCAGGGUUUCUUAAUAAAGACAAAAGAGUUUUUUGAAUAAUUAAAUGUCUUCAUCCCAUGAUGAUUCUCCAAGAUAAGAGGUAUCUAAGAUAUUGUUCAAGUUGUUUACUUUUUAAACCUUAACUAUGUAGUUUUAAAUAUUAUUUUUUUUACUUAGUUUACAUUAAACUCACCCUUAAUCCAUGCCCCCUAGAUGUUGAGCAAGUUGACGAUUGGCUCCCCGAGUUAUCUCUUGAAGUUUGACUAGAACCAUUCAUCGAUCCUUGGUAAUUGAUUAGGACAUAAUUUGAGUGCAAUAGUUUAUUUCACAGUCUAAUGUAAAGUUCCUGUACUAGCCUCAAUAUGGCUCUAUUUGAAACCCUCUAUGGUAGGCUUAGCCUCACGCGGGAAGGUAUAGGGAGGAUCGAAUUAACUCCUAAAACCCACUCAACGUAUGCAAUACCGAAACUAUAACCACUUAGAAUAACCUCUCCCUCUAAUUGAAUCUAUAAUCCGAAAAGGAAUGCAAAAACAAAGACUAAAAAAAUAAAAUAAAGAAAGGAAAAAUGUCAUGGACUUACUGAUAAAUUGAUCCCCGCUCCAUGGCUCAACAAGAUUUCUGAAAACUCCCACUUCCCGAAUAACUUGAAGGUAAUUUUAGUAAAAAUGCUAAAAGAAGAAAAAUAAAAACUUUUAAGAAUUCUCUCAAAUUGAUUGUCAAAUGUGUUUAAAACCUAUGGGCAAAGGUUUAUUUAUAUUAUUUCCUAAGCAAUCUACAUGAGUGCAAACUCUUGAGAUAAUUUAAUAAAAUAAUAGCCUAAAUAAAAUUCUAUCAACUUUAGGAUAAUUACAUAAUAAAAUAAUUAUUUUAUUCCAAAUAAAAUAAUUAAAUAAUCUUAAAGGAUAAACUUAUAAUAAAAUAUUAAUUAAAAUAAUUUAAUAUUUAUCCCAUGUGAUUUCCAUGUAAAAAACAUGUGGAAAUUAUUUUAGACAUGGAAUUUUAAUUUAAAAUAAUAAAAUAAAUUAAAAAAAGGAUAAAGGGAUCGGUUGGGUUUGGGUUACCCGGAUAGGCCGGGUAGGCUGGUUCAAGUAAGCUGCACGUAAAAAGUCCCACGGGAGGUACGAGCUAGUUGGCUUGGGCUGAGGUGGCUGUUCGCAAGCCCAUCUGUGUGGGGUGUGUGCGUUUGGCCCCUUUGGCCUACGCGCGCACAGUCUGUUUCGCCCAGGCCUAAAGGGUCGCGAGCGUGGACACUCCUGAGUGCUUGUACGCGUGGUCUGUGUGGGCAUGCGUGCGUGUUCGUGGGCUGUGCGAGCUAGGCCACAUGUUUGGCGCAUGUUCGGCAUAUGUGUGGGACUCUUUGCUCGAGUGUGGGCAUCCAGGUCUUUGCGUCAAAAAAGUUGCCUAUCUCCUAUUUUCCUACGGAGUAUAAAGUUGGCUUGAUUGCUUCAUUGUAGGAUCUUGGAACACCCGCAAAUGAGUGAGCCAAGUAUCAUAUACGUGUAUUGCGACACAUGUUACCCUAUGGGUACCAAAACCUAUACUACAUUCAGGCUUUGUUCUUGGGUAAGGAUUUUCAGACCAAACCAUUCCUUAGCAGGGUCUGUUAACCUUCGGGUUUCUGGUAACUUCUGGCGUCGUUUCUUCCUAGGCUGGGAACUCUAUUUAGUGUAUUCGACCUUGCUAUUUAAUACUUGGUCGGAAAUAGAGUAGUUCAGAAUAUUGUUACCUCACAAUUGCCUUCUUUCGUUUCUCGAAAGCUCAUCUAUACUUGCUCACUUCUUGCACUCCUCUGGUUUAGGUGUGGUUUUAGCGGGUAUUGCAUCAUAGCCGAUCUCUGACUCUUUGGAAUAAGGUUGGGGACAAGCAUCUCCUUAUGUUGGACUAUAUCCAGGAAGUUAUCAAGAAGGUUGACAUUAUCUGGAGACACCUCCUCAUUGCUCAUAGUUGCCAGAAAAGUUACAUAGACAAGUGGAGAUGGCCCUUGGAGUUUGCAAUUGUGAUCACAUUUUCCUCNNNNNNNNNNNNNNNNNNNNNNNNNNNNNNNNNNNNNNNNNNNNNNNNNNNNNNNNNNNNNNNNNNNNNNNNNNNNNNNNNNNNNNNNNNNNNNNNNNNNNNNNNNNNNNNNNNNNNNNNNNNNNNNNNNNNNNNNNNNNNNNNNNNNNNNNNNNNNNNNNNNNNNNNNNNNNNNNNNNNNNNNNNNNNNNNNNNNNNNNNNNNNNNNNNNNNNNNNNNNNNNNNNNNNNNNNNNNNNNNNNNNNNNNNNNNNNNNNNNNNNNNNNNNNNNNNNNNNNNNNNNNNNNNNNNNNNNNNNNNNNNNNNNNNNNNNNNNNNNNNNNNNNNNNNNNNNNNNNNNNNNNNNNNNNNNNNNNNNNNNNNNNNNNNNNNNNNNNNNNNNNNNNNNNNNNNNNNNNNNNNNNNNNNNNNNNNNNNNNNNNNNNNNNNNNNNNNNNNNNNNNNNNNNNNNNNNNNNNNNNNNNNNNNNNNNNNNNNNNNNNNNNNNNNNNNNNNNNNNNNNNNNNNNNNNNNNNNNNNNNNNNNNNNNNUCCAUUAAUUGGGUCUUGCUGCCAUUUAAAUUUUGUUAGUAUUUAAAAUUAUUAAUAUUUUUGCUUCACGUUAAUUUAAAUAAUUUUUAUUCAUUUUUUCUGUUUCCAAAAAUUAUUUUUGAUUUAAUAAUAUUUUCAGGGAAAUGAAUAGGAGUCAGUGAAGUCGGCGAAGGAAAAAACAAAAAAUCCCCUUAGCCCCCGACUCACACACAUGCAUGACCGCAACCCUGCACGUGGUCAGCUUGUGCAAGCAAGACUACGUGCAUGCACUGCGCACCCAUUGUGCACGAUUGUGCGCGUAGUACGCCGACACAAUGUGUAGCAUGGUUGCCCCUUACAUGAGGCAGGCAACCUAUGCAUGCGCGAUGUGCAGCAGGGCCACUUGUCUCGUCGAUGGGAUGGGAUAGCUGUUGCCUUAUCCUGUAGGCCAUUUUCGGCUAUGCCAAGUGGGCCCUACCCUCCUACCCACCUUAACACUUGCUUUCACGAAUGCUCGCCACUUGUCACACAUUUGAAAGCCCCCAAAAAUCUAUUUAAAGUCUUUCUUUCCCUUUCUUUCACUUCAUUCUCUUUUAUUUUCUACUAUUUUUAACUGAUGGAGGACGUAGGAUCAACAACGAAACCCAAAACUCCGCAUAUACAUCAGCAACUAGAAACUCAAAAUCCUAAGUAAACCCUCCCUAUUUGACCUACACUCAAUAGGGGAGUGAAAACUAAGGUAACUGGGAAAGAAAUAAGUAACUAUAAUUAAAAAGACAUUGUGAGACUUACCUUAAUAAGUGAUCCCAAUUUCUAGCACAAUAAGUUGGUCAAAGAUCCACUUACUCACUCUUGCAAGCUUGGAAGUUUAAAACAAAAAUACUUGAAUUUAUUUAAUAAACCAUAAAUUUUGAAUGAAUUACAACUUUGAAUUGCAAGCUUAUUUAUAGUGUAGGCUAUCCGAAUAAUAAGGAAAAAAAAUAAUCUCCUUAUUAAUUGUAGAAGUUACAUAGAAAAUUAAAUAUAAAAUAGAAUAGAAAACUAGCAAAAAUUAAGAGGAUUACAAUUAAAAUAUGAUAAAUAUGAUUUUUCUAUGAGAAAAACUUUUUAAAUAGAGAAUAUUUUAAUUAAUUGUGGCUAAUUUAGUGUAAGAAAUUUUGCCAAGAUAUUUUCCUCUCUUUUAAGUUUUUUUCUUUUUUGCAAGUUUUACCAUUUAAGGAGUUUUCCUCUUUCUCAUUAUAGCUUGCAAUUUAGGAAUAAUUUUUCCUCUUGGCUGAUCUUUAAUUAUGAAAAUUUUUCACAGCAUUAGAAAAAAAAAUCUCAUGGGAAUUUUUCUUUUUCAUGUCUUGUAAAAUUUUUCUCAUUUCUUGUUUAUUUCCCUCUUGCACUUGGGGUGAAUAGUAUAUACUAUUAUACCCUUGGGUUAAUGGCCUUAUUGUCUUCUUUUCUUGAGCUUCUUUAAUGGGUCCAAGCCCUCUUCCUCAUUGAUUCAUGCUUGGAUAAAAAGUUGAAAGGCUUGUUGUAAUCUUUUACCUCUCCUCCUUGUAAUAGGCCCCACUUGGCAUUGAGAUAUCUUUUCCACCAACUUGAUUCAUGUCCAUGCUCACAUCAUCCCUCCCUCUUUAAAAAGAUUUAUUCUUGAAUGUAGACCUGUAUCAAAAAGGGAAAGGUCAUAAAUAUUAAAGGUAGCAGACACACUGUACUCACUUGGGAGGUCAAUUUUUUAGGUGCUGUCAUUGAUACACUCUACAACUUGAAAAGUCCAUCUCCUCAGGGGUUUAACUUAGAUUUUUGCUGAUUGGAAAUCUUUCCUUUUGCAUAUAAAUCCAUACCCAAUUUUUGGCUUAGAAAACUACUCCUUUUCUUCCUUUAUUAGCGUGUUGUGCAUAGGAUUCAUUGUUCAUCUAGAUAUGGUGUCUGGCCUUCUCAUGUAUGACUUUAACAAGUUUUACUCUCCACUGACGAUCGGUAUCCUAAAUUUCCUACAAAGCUAAAGGUGUGAGGUCCAACAGAGUUAAAGGACUAAACCCAUAAACAAUCUCAAAAGGUGAAAAUUCUAAUAAGGUAUGAAUACUCCUAUUAUAUGCAAAGUUUACCAUGGGUAAACAAUCCUCCCAUAUUUUCAAAUUUCGACCAACUAGAGCUCUCAACAAGGAUCCUAAGGUCCUAUAAAUGACCUUAGUCUGACCAUCAGUCUGGGGGGUGACAUAUAGUAGAGAAUAACAACUUAGUUCCUAAUUUAUCCCACAAAAGUCUCAAAAAAUGAUAAGGAAUUUCAUAUCCCUAUCAUUCACAAUUGCCUUAGGAAUGUCAUGGAGUCUCAUAACAUCCUUGAAAAAUAGAUUUACGAUAUUUGUCGCAUCAUCAGUCUUAUGGCAUGCAAUAAAGUGUGUCAUCUUACUAAAUCUAUCCACGAUGACAAAUAUGCUAUCACUACUUCUCCUGGUCGUAGGCAAUCUUAAUACAAAAUCAAUAGAUAUAUUUAUCUAAGAUGUUGUAGGUGUAGGUAAAGGUGUGUAUAAUCCAUGAGAUAGAAUCCUAAAUUUGGCCUACUAACAUGCAAUGCACCUACUACAAAUGAACUCAACAUCUUUCCUCAUGUUAGGCGGAAAAAAAAAUGCUCCUUCAAUAUAUCUAGAGUUUUAGCUACCCUAAACUACCCCAUCAAUCCCCUGCUAUGAGCCUCACGCACCAGAAUUUCUUUAAGUGAACAGAUAGACACACAUAACUUACCAUCCCUAAGGAAAAAACCAUCAUGCCUAUAAAAGUUCUGAAAUGCAGAAUGCUCACAUGCAUGAUAAACAAUGAAAAAAUUAUUAUCAUUAGUAUACGUCUCCUUAAUAUGUUCAAAUCCUACCAACUUAGAGUUAAGUAUAGAAAUCAAAGUAUACAUGCGAAAUAAUACAUCAGCAAUAAUAUUAUAAUUACCUUGUUUAUACUUGAUUACAUAGGGGAAAGAUUUUAUGACCUCGAUCCACUUACCAUGAUAAUGGUUGAGUUUACCUUGGCCCUUCAAAUGUUUUAGGGAUUCGUGGUCUAUGUGGAUCAUGAACUCCAUUAGUACUAAAUAGUGUUAUCAUACCUCUAAUGCUCUGACCAAAACGUACAACUUCUUAUCGUAGGUUGAGUAAUUUAACAAUGUGCUACUAAGCUUCUCACUGAAUAAGACAUAGGACGCCCUUCCUAGACAAAACUACUCAUAUACCAAUACAUUCAAGUUCAAAAGUUUUAUUAAAGUCAGGUAAAACAAAAAUAAGUGCAGAACAUAAUUUUUCUUUCAAUAAAGUAAAAACGUGCUCUUCUUUUUCAAUCCAUAUAAAUUUUAUAUUUUUCUUUACCAGUUCAUUUAAUAGUGCUGUUAUGGAAUUGAAAUCCCCAAUAAACCUACGGUAGAAGCUCACCAAACCAUGAAAACUUCUUACCUUGCUGGUUGAUGUUAGAAUAGGUCAUUCUCUUAUUGCUUUCACCUUAUCCUCAUCUAUCUCAAUGCCUUAUGGACUAACUAUAAACCCUAAAAAAAUAAAAAUUUCACUACAGAAAGUACACUUCUUGACAUUGGCAUACAACUAUUCUUUCUUAAAGACCUCAAGAACAUACUUGAUAUGUUGAAGGUGAUCAUCUAAAGGCUUACUGUAAAUGAAGAUGUCAUCAAAGUAAACUACAACAAAUUUACCUAUAAAAGGUCAUAAAACAUGGUUCACGUCUCAUGAAGGUGCUUGGGGUGUUUGAUAAGCCAAAAUACAUUAAUAACCAUUCAUACAACUCGUACUUUAUUUUAAAGACAGUUUUUCACUCAUCUAUAGGUUUUAUCAUAAUCUGGUGGUACCCACUCUUAAGAUCUAUCUUAAUAAAAAUAGUAGAUCCAUUAAAUUCAUCUAGCAUAUCAUCUAACCUAGGAAUAGUGUAUCUAUACUUUGCCGUAGUUUUGUUGAUGGCUUGACAAUCCAGACACAUCCUCCAAGAUCCAUCCUUCUUAGGCAUAAAUAAUACCAGAACAGCACAAGAACUCAAACUUUUUCUUACAUGUCCUUUACCUAACAACUCCUCCACUUAUUGCUAAAGUUCCUUUGUCUUCUCAGGAUUACUUUGAUAGGCUAGGUAGUGUAGAAUUGAAGCUCCAAGGAUAAAGUCAAUCUGAUGUUCGAUCCCUCGUAGUGGUGGUAGACCAUCUAGAAUCUCCUCUAGGAACACAUCUUAAUAUUCCUGCAAAAGAGAGAAAACAGAACUAGGUAAAGAAGUGUCAAGGUCAGAAAAAUUUAGAUAAGCUUUUUUGUACUGAAGUAUAAUUAAGCUUUACUUCUCAUAGAUCUCUUAAGUCUUUUUUUUCUCUAAGUGGGUCAUUCUUAUUCGUUUCGGCCUCUUUUUUUUUUUUUUUUUGAAUAUUCUUUAAAAGAUUUCUUGAUUUUUAUUUGAUCAACAUAAACCUCCUUUAGGGAUAGAGGUAUCAAAAUAUAUUGUAGAUCAUUUAGAUGUAAAGAGUAUUGAUUCUUGAACCCACUGUGAUGUACCUGUCUAUCAUACUGCUAUGGUCAUCCAAGUAGGAUAUGACUAGCGUGCACGGGAACGACAUCCAAACAUAACUCAUCUUUGUACUAGCCUUACUUGUCUACUCUAACUUACUUGUGUACUCUAACUUCUUCACACUCAUUGAAAUAAUGUAGUCUAUAAGGGUUAGGGUAUUUAGUACAAGAUAACCAUAACUUGUCAACUAGCAAACUACUGGCAACAUUGGUACAAUUGCCUCCGUCUAUGAUCAAACUGCAUACCUUCUCAUUCACAUAACAUCUAGUGUGGAAGUUAUUCUCUCUUUAAUCGUUGUUUGUCUCUUUAGAUUAUAUAUUUAGGGCUCUUCGGACAACUAAUAUUCUACUAUCACUGCUGUACUCACUAGCAGUCUCUAUCUCGUCAUUGCUUCGCAAUAAUAUGAUAUUUUUAUUGGGGCAUCAUAACGCAAUGUGUCCAACUCCAAGGCACCUAAAACACUUAAUAGAACUUGAUAUUUGAGCAGCAGUAGGUGGUUUAGGGUUACCUUUGGAUUCAGUAGAGUUGGGCUUGUUCCUCUUUUCUUCAAAUCUUUUUCUUUCUUCCUUCCUUCCUUUUUAGGCCAUCUAGAACUAAUUGAAGGGUAGACUGAAAAUUACUUCUGGAGGAAUCUCUAUACUUUAUAUGUUUCUCAAUUUUCAUAGUUAUGUGUACCAUCUCAUCCAAAUUUAUGUAAUGAUGCAGUUCCACAACAUUGGUAAUAUCCCUAUUCAGACCACUCAAAAAUCUAGCCAUGGUGGCUUCUGGACUCUUGUAAACUCUGUCCCUGAUCAUUGCCAUCUCCAUCUCCUUGUGGUAAUCUUCCAUCGAGAGGGAUCCCUGGGUUAAUCUUUGGAGCUUCUAGUGCAAUUCUCUGUCAUAAUAAGAUGGGACAAACCUCUUUCUCAUAAUAGACUUCAUCUCUCUCCAAGUGGAUACAGGUUGGUCUCCAUCUCUUUUCUUGAUGGCGAUCACUUGGUCCCACCAAACAAGUGCAUAAUCUAUGAGGUCGACUGCUACUAGCAUUACUUUCUUGGCUUCACUGUAGUUGUGGUAGUUAAAGAUCAACUCUACCUUUCAUUCACACUCGAGAUAGGUCUCUGCAUCAUUCCUUCCUCUGAAUGGAGGUAUCUACAUCUUGAUGGAUUUGAUGUCAUCAUCUUUCCUCUAGAUUUCUCUUCUACUAACUUCACUAUUAUUGCCAUGUCACUCAUCAUCAUCCUAGUGGUGUCGAUGUCUAGGAUGACUAUGGUUCCUUCCUCCAUCUCUUUCAUCCAUCUUUGUUGCUAUACAUUCAAUGACUAAGCUCAGUCUGUUGUACGUGUCAUCCAUUCUAGCCUCUAUACGUUCUUCCAAGGUCAUAGGUAAGUUGAUUUCACUAAGCUAUAACAUAUUUGUUAAAAGAUGUUAGUUGAAAAAAAAAAGAAAUCACUCCCUCAGAAUCACUUGUGUUUACCUCUCCUGUCUUCUUCUAUUAAGUUGAGUGUUAGAAUUGGAUCUCUUGAAUCAAGACAAGCAAGGUUGCCUUUUAAGACUCUGCAAAGAAUCUUAAAAAGGAUCUUGUUUUCUAAAAGUUCGAAAAUAAGCACACAGAAGAAGAAUAUGUGAUGCUCGUAUACUUAUAGCUAAGUAGCUAGGAUGCAAUUAACCACUCAAAUGUAUAAUGGAACUAAAACAUUUAAGAAAGAUUGAAACUAAGAGUAGAAAAAGACAAUGCUGGAGGUAAAGUGUCAAGGAUCCUAUUAAUCCCUAUAGAUAUAACCGGAAUGUUAUACCUAAUUAUUCUACCCCAAUGACAUCUGCACUCAAUGACUCACUUGAGUUUCUGUAAUGCAGAUGUUAAUGCAAAAUAUUGAAUGUAAUAUUAUAAAAAAGAAAAUAAGGGAGUCAUACACCUCUCUCUUUUUUUUGCUCUUUUUUCACAUAUUUUAUUUUUUUCUUCAUAGAUUAUGUUUUUUCUAACAGAUUCUAUUUUUUUCACAAAGCCUCUCUUUUUUUUUAUUAUAAUAACAACGUUAAAAAAAAUUAUUGAAAAUAAAUUAAAUGAAUUAGCACUUUAUAUUAUGAGUGCUAAUUUUAUGUAAGAAAAUAAAUGUAAACAGUAAAUUAAAAAGAUAGUAGAUGUACCAGAAUAUAAUCUCUGAUACUAAUUGGUGUGGAACCCGAGAUCAACAACGGAAUCCAAAACCCCGCAUAUACAUCAGCAACCAAAAACUCAAAACCCUAAAUAAAUCCUCUCUACUUGAUCUGCACUCAAUAGAGGAGUGAAAAUCAAGAUAAAUGAGAAAGAAAUAAAAAACUAAAAUUGAAAAGACAUCACGAGACUUACCUCGAUUAGUGAUUCUAAUUUCUAACACAAUAAAUCGGUCAAAAACCCACUCACUCACUCUUGCAAGCUUGUAGACUUAAAAUAAAAAUACCUGAAUUUUAUUAAUAAGCUGUAAUUUAUGAGUAAAUUACAACUCUAAAUUGAAAGUCUAUUUAUAGUGUAAGUCAUGCGAAUAAUAAGAAAAAAAUAAUCUCCUAAUUAAUUGUAGAAAUUAUAUAGGAAAUUAAAUCUAAUUUAGAAUGAAAAAACUAGUAAAAUUAAGAAAAUUACAAUUAAAAUAUGAUAUAUAUGAUUUCCUUAUGAGGAAAACUUUUUUAAUAGGGAAUAUCUUAAUUAAUUGUGACUGAUUUAAAGAAAGAAAUUCUGCCAAGAUAUUUUUCUCUUUCUCAAGUAUUUUCAUUUUCCACAAGAUUUAACAUUUAAGAAGUUUUCCUCUUUCUUAGGAUAGCUUGUAAUUUAGGACUAAUUUUUCUUAUUUCUUUAAUUGUGAAGAUUUUUCGCAUGAUUAGAAAAUAAAAUCCUCUGAGAAUUUUUCUUUUUCAUGUCUUGCAGAACUUUUCCCCUUUCUUGCUUAUUUUCCUCUUGCACUUGGGGUGAAUAGUUUAUAUUAUUAUACUCUUAGGUUAAUAGCCUUUAAUGAGUCCAAGCCCAUCUUCUUCAUUGUUCCAUGCUUGAAUAAAAAGUUGAAAGGCUUGUCGUAAUCUUUUAUCUCUCUCCCUUAUAAUGGAUUAACUUGGCAUUGAGAUAUCAUUUCUGCCAACUUGAUCUAUGUCCAUACUCACAUCAUUAACACUUCAUUUUCCCUUCUAUUUUCCACUUCCUACAGAGAGAAACUUUAAGAGAGGAAGAAGGAAUUUUUUAGAGAGAGAAAGAGGCAAAAAAGAAGGAGAAAAAUAUGACUUUAUAGAACUUUACUAAGGGGUGCUAGGAGUUCUUUUCUCACCUUCCAAAAGACAAAAUCGACUCGAUUUUAGUAAGAAAUUCUUUAGUAUUUUCAUCUACAUUUCUAAGUGCUCAUUUUAGUUUUACUAAUUUAGUGAAAUUAGAGAUUGCUUAAAUGGAUUUCACUACUUCUUUGGUGGUUAAAGUUUUGGUAUGUAUUCAUGAUGAAUGUGUUAUAAUGAUGAUUUGGGAUCUCUAUGAUUUCGACGCAUGGACUUAUGUGCUUGUUUGGUCAUUAAUUGCUUAAAUAUGAUGGUGUCAGAUAUGAUACAUGAUGGUUGGUUGUACCAUAUGAUAAAAUGACUAUGAUGCAUGAAGUCUACAAAGAUGGAUGUUUGUUUAUGUUGAUAUGAGACAUGGUAUUAUUAAAAAUGAUGAUAUAAUGUGUCUAUAUGGUAAUUGAUCAUUAUUUAUUUAUGGAAAUAUUGAGCAUGAUGUAUGAAAAUCAUGAUGAUGGGAAAAUGCAUGCGAGUUUGGCCAUUCACUUUACCUUGGUAAUGGUAAAGAGGGUUAUUCUCAUGAGCCUUGGCUCAAGAGGAUGACCCGAAAGUUAAAUCUGGGUAAAUGGGCCUUCGAGCCAAAUGCAUAAAAUGGGUCUUCAGGCUGGAUAUAUGAGAAUGAAUCUUCAUAUAGAUAUGUUGCAGGAUUCCUAUUGGAUUUGGAAGUGGUUGUAUUGAACACGUGACAUGCAAAAGAAAAGAACAUGGAAUUUGUUGUGAACAUGAAAUGAACAAGCAAAAAUAAUAAAAAUCCAUUUGACUGGUAUCUCUGAGGGAUUUUUGUUUCUCCCUCCUCUAAGAAAGUGUUGGUGAACCACCCUCUGUGAUGAUUGGCGAUCCCUCUGAUAAGAGAAGAUACGCAUUAGACAUGUAGGGCCACUGUGACGACGUACGACCGUCGUCGUUAGUUAGAUGGGGAAAUGAUAUUGGCCCAAGAAUGGGUUGGUGAUUCAUAGCUGUAGUCGGGGAUCGCUUCUGCCCUAAGUGGAUAUAUGUUAUAAUAAAUUCACACGGAAGUCAAUAAAAGACUUAAUAAAACUCACAUAUGAUUAAAAAUACUAAUUAUAUCUUUGUGAUGAUUUAUAUGAUGGUUCUUCUGUUUAUUGAAUAUGCUAUUUGUUUUAUUUUCAUUGGAUAUAUGAUACAUUUGGGUAUGCCUAAUGAGACAUAACAUUUCUGCUCAAAUAUGAAUAAUGGUGUUCUUAACUUGGUUAUAUGACUUUACUAGAUUUUCUUAAUAAAGACAAAAGGAUUUUCUGAAUAAUUAAAUGUCUUCAUCCCGGAAUGGUUCUCCAAGGUAAAAGGUAUCUAAGGUAUUUUUCAAGUUGUUUACUUUUUUAAACUCUAGCCGUGUGGUUUUAAAUAUUAUUUUUCUUACUAAGUUUACAUGAAACUCACUCUUAAUCCGUGCCCCCUUAGAUGUUGAGGAAGUUGAGGAUUGGCUCCUCAAGUUAUCUCUUGAAGUCUAACUAGAACUAUUCAUGGAUCUUUUGUAAUUCUUUAUGACAUAAUUUGAGUGCAAUAAUUUUUUCAUACUCUGAUUUAA
Molecule: long non-coding RNA, 13188 nt
Filed under: Carica papaya (papaya)
Lineage: Eukaryota; Viridiplantae; Streptophyta; Magnoliopsida; Brassicales; Caricaceae
Description: long non-coding RNA (CPAP_LNC012994)
Source: RNAcentral